UACGUAGGGCGCAGGCGUUAUCCGGAAUUAUUGGGCGUAAAGAGCUCGUAGGCGGUUUGUCGCGUCUGCCGUGAAAGUCCGGGGCUCAACCCCGGAUCUGCGGUGGGUACGGGCAGACUUGAGUGCAGUAGGGGAGACUGGAAUUCCUGGUGUAGCGGUGAAAUGCGCAGAUAUCAGGAGGAACACCGAUGGCGAAGGCAGGUCUCUGGGCUGUAACUGACGCUGAGGAGCGAAAGCAUGGGGAGCGAACAGG
Molecule: ribosomal RNA, 253 nt
Filed under: uncultured bacterium
Lineage: Bacteria
Description: partial 16S ribosomal RNA
Rfam family: Bacterial small subunit ribosomal RNA
Source: RNAcentral